CCUUGGGCCUACCCAACUACCAACUUCCUUUCAAUCUGUUUGUCUCUGAAAAAUCAGGACAUGCUUCCGGAGUCCUCACCCAGAAACAUGGAUCAAGACAACGACCUAUUGGCUCCUGCAUGCUUGACCCUGUUGCGAGAGGUAUUCCCUUUUGCCUCAGAGCGGUGUUUGCCGCCAGCGCCCUCCUGGACAAGACCAAUGAUUUUGUUCUUGGCCACCACCUCACAGUGUUGGCCCCUCAUGACAUUACUGCAAUCCUGCAACAAACUCAACCUAAGCACCUUUCUUCUCAACGUUACCUUCGUCUACAAACAUCCUUACUGUAACCUGACAAUGUGGAACUUCAGCGAUGUCUCUCCCUGAACCCGCCACUCUUCUGCCACUUCCCAAGGGGGGAAUUGUGCAUUACUGGUAUAGCCUGGACAUCAACCCAGAGGUUUGAGCAGAUUUGCAGCUGCCUGCACUUGCACCCCCACAUAAUGAACAAUCAGAGGCCCUACUUCACUGCACCUUAUGGUUUAAAGACAGACCAGGCCCUGAUAUGAACUAUGAGGAAGAAUUAUUCCAGCUCAAGGAAAUUCCAAUUACCCUGACUGACUUGUUAUGGGACCCCACAGGUACCAUGCUCAUCUUAGCCCAUCUUCCAGAGAACAUGACACAUCUCUACCAUCAUUGGGAAACAGCUAUCCCACACAUAUCUCUCACCAGAUCCUCUGACACCUCAUGGAAAGACCUAGGCCCGAUGGCCAAGACCUGGUGUCAAAUGAACCAAGAACAACUGACUUCUAUGGGGACCAGCAAAAAGACUAUUA
Pelobates cultripes (western spadefoot toad) is the source of this 812-nucleotide non-coding RNA. Lineage: Eukaryota; Metazoa; Chordata; Amphibia; Anura; Pelobatidae. The record is from the annotation of a GenBank genome assembly.